GCUCUUGCAGUGUUCUCCCCGCAGGUGCUGCAUGGAGUGAGUGGCGGCAUCCACCGUGAGGAGGAGAGGAGCUCUGAUACCCUCAGGACCCGCCAGGAGGGGCAUCACGGAGGCUUCUGGACGACUUGGAGCUGUGUCCUGGGGAGAAAACCGCUCCUGUCUGGGCCCUGAGUGCUGAGGAGGAAGCUGCCAUGCACUUUUCCCUGGCAUUUUUCCUGCAUGGAGAGAGAGGUCCAAGGUGCCCUACAUCGUGCGUCAGUGCGUGGAGGAGAUCGAGCGCCGAGGCAUGGAGGAGGUGGGCAUCUACCGCAUGUCUGGGGUGGCCGCAGACAUCCAGGCACUGAAGGCAGGCUUCAACGUCAAUAACAAGGACGUGUCAGUGAUGAUGAGCGAGAUGGACGUGAACGCCAUCGCAGGCAUGCUGAAGCUGUACUUCCGUGAGCUGCCCGAGCCCCUCUUCACUGACGAGUUCUACCCCAACUUCGCAGAGGGCAUCGCUCUUUCAGACCCAGUUGCAAAGAAGAGCUGCAUGCUCAACCUGCUGUCGUCCCUGCCGGAGGCCAACCUGCUCACCUUCCUUUUCCUUCUAGACCACCUGGAAAGGAUGGCAGAGAAGGAGGCAGUCAAUAAGAUGUCCCUGCACAACCUUGGCACGGUGUUUGGCCCCACGCUGCUCCGGCCCUCCGAGAAGGAGAGCAAGCUCCCUGCCAACCCCAGCCAGCCCAUCACCAUGACUGACAGCUGGUCCUUGGAGGUCAUGUCCCAGGUCGAGGUGCUGCUGUACUUCUUGCGGCUGGAGGCCAUCCCUGCCCUGGACAGCAAGGGACAGAGCAUCCUGUUCUCCACCGAUGUCUAAAGGUCCCAGUCCAUCUCCUGGAGGCGGACAGACGGCCUGGAAACCUCUGGCUAAUCAGGCCAUCUGUAGAGUGGGAAUCAAGAUUUUCUGAGGCAUCCUUGGGCCACCCCCAGGUGUCAGGCCAUCUGCCAAGAGACAGCGGCCCAAAGCAGAAGGACAGGUGGCCUGGGCAGAUCCCGCCCAGGUCUGAAAGCCCCAGGCUGGCCUCAGACUGUGGGUUUUUUAUGUGGCCACCCGAGGGCGCCCCAAACCAGUUCAUCUCGGAGUCCAGGCCUGGCCCUGGGAGACAGGGUGAAAGCAGUGGUUUUUAUGAACUUAACUUAUAGAGUCCAAAAGAUUUCUACUGAAUCACUUGUCAAGAAGCGCCCUCUCUGGGGAGAAGGGAACGUGACUGGAUUCCCUCACUGUUGUAUCUUGAAUAAACGCUGCUGCUUCAUCCUGUGGGGGCCAUGGCCCUGUCCCUGUGUGGGUGGGGCCUCUUCCAUUUCCCUGACUUAGAAACCACAGUCCACUUAGAACAGGGUUUGAGAGGCUUGGUCAGCACUGGGUAGCGUUUUGACUCCAUUCUUGGCUUUCUUCUUUUUCUUCCCAGAGGGAUUUUUGUGCAGAAAUGGGUCUUUUGUUGCCGUGUUAGUCCUCCUUGGAAGGCAGCUCAGAAGGCCCGUGAAACGUCGGGGGACAGGACCCCCAGGGAGGGAAUCCCAGGCUACGCACUUUAGGGUUCGUUCUCCAGGGAGAGCGACCUCGUCCCCCGAUCCUGACCGCCCUUCCGGCCCACGCUCUCCUGUUUGGCUUCCACAGGCCUGGACUUCUCUGGCUUCUCUGCCCACACACUCCCUGCCCCCAGUGUCCCUGCCCCUGCCCCAGCACAGGUGACUUCAUUUCUGUCCUCUCAGCUCAGUGGACUCGCUCAACUUUUGUAUAAGUCUCCACUUGGUGGUAGCAGCUUGCUGAUGACUUGUUUUAAAACUUUCAUCCUAAAUAACCUUUUGAUACU
Molecule: long non-coding RNA, 1853 nt
Filed under: Homo sapiens (human)
Lineage: Eukaryota; Metazoa; Chordata; Mammalia; Primates; Hominidae
Description: novel transcript
Source: RNAcentral